GAUGAACGCUGGCGGCGUGCUUAACACAUGCAAGUCGAACGAAGCAUUUAGAACAGAUUACUUCGGUUUGAAGUUCUUUAUGACUGAGUGGCGGAUGGGUGAGUAACGCGUGGGUAACCUGCCUUGUACUGGGGGAUAGCAGCUGGAAACGGCUGGUAAUACCGCAUAAGCGCACAAUGUUGCAUGACAUGGUGUGAAAAACUCCGGUGGUAUAAGAUGGACCCGCGUCUGAUUAGCUAGUUGGUGAGAUAACAGCCCACCAAGGCGACGAUCAGUAGCCGACCUGAGAGGGUGACCGGCCACAUUGGGACUGAGACACGGCCCAGACUCCUACGGGAGGCAGCAGUGGGGAAUAUUGCACAAUGGAGGAAACUCUGAUGCAGCGACGCCGCGUGAGUGAAGAAGUAAUUCGUUAUGUAAAGCUCUAUCAGCAGGGAAGAUAGUGACGGUACCUGACUAAGAAGCUCCGGCUAAAUACGUG
RNAcentral lists this ribosomal RNA (481 nucleotides) under uncultured bacterium. Its description in RNAcentral is "partial 16S ribosomal RNA". It matches the Rfam family "Bacterial small subunit ribosomal RNA", at positions 28 to 507 of the family's 1533-position model. The record is from RNAcentral.